This 394-nucleotide ribosomal RNA is filed under the name uncultured bacterium. RNAcentral's name for it is "partial 16S ribosomal RNA". It matches the Rfam family "Bacterial small subunit ribosomal RNA", at positions 523 to 918 of the family's 1533-position model. The record is from RNAcentral.
AUACGUAGGGGACGAGCGUUGUCCGGAAUUACUGGGCGUAAAGGGCGCGCAGGCGGAUAUUUAAGUCAGCUGUAAAAGGCAUGAGCUCAACUCAUGUAUGCGGUUGAAACUGGGUAUCUAGAGUGCUGGAGAGGUAGGCGGAAUUCCCGGUGUAGCGGUGAAAUGCGUAGAUAUCGGGAAGAACACCAGUGGCGAAGGCGGCUUACUGGCCAGCAACUGACGCUGAAGCGCGAAAGCCAGGGGAGCGAACGGGAUUAGAUACCCCGGUAGUCCUAGCCGUAAACGAUGAAUGCUAGGUGUGGGUGUCGAGAGGCAUCCGUGCCGGAGUUAACGCGAUAAGCAUUCCGCCUGGGGAGUACGAUCGCAAGAUUGAAACUCAAAUGAAUUUACGGGG